UGAAUCAUGGAAAGAUAUUGGAAUCUUCAGAUUGGUAGAAAUUAGCCAACACACUAUUACCUUCAAUAACAAUUUGUUUGGGAGUGGCUCUUAGGCUUUGGUCCUCGAAACUCAACUCUUUCAUCUUUCUAUUUGGAUCUGCUUUUAUUAUUUUAAGAGACAUCAUCAUUCUGACUGACCUCCCCAUCAUAGGUGAUGAAGCUAUUUUUCUAAUUGAUAUAAAAGAUAAAUCCUUACCCCCAGUUUCUGCUUAUUCAACCACCUAUACUUCAUAUCAUACAAUUGUUGAUAAGUGGUGCAAUUUGACUUCUCC
This 313-nucleotide long non-coding RNA is filed under the name Ricinus communis (castor bean). RNAcentral's name for it is "long non-coding RNA (RCOM_LNC001177)". Lineage: Eukaryota; Viridiplantae; Streptophyta; Magnoliopsida; Malpighiales; Euphorbiaceae. The record is from RNAcentral.